This 533-nucleotide long non-coding RNA is filed under the name Carica papaya (papaya). RNAcentral describes it as "long non-coding RNA (CPAP_LNC016520)". The record is from RNAcentral. Lineage: Eukaryota; Viridiplantae; Streptophyta; Magnoliopsida; Brassicales; Caricaceae.
AAAUAAUUUUAGAGAAAAUAUGUGAAAAUUUGAGUUUUGUAGGUAUUUUUGAAAGAAAAAUCGAAAAUCGAAGGUCAAAUUGUAAUUUAAGAAAGUUCUGCCACGUGGAACGCCAGGUCAGCAGCUCUAACGAACCAGGAUGUGUUGCGUGGCAACAGACGCUGACGCAGUGCCAUGCGGAGGGGGCCACGUGAGCAAUCCGCGCGUCUGUGAUCGAAUGACUUAGAUCCAUUCCCGCGCGCACGAACGGCCUAGAUGCAUUCACUCCCUAAACGUGAUUGGACGGUCAGAUUUGAAUCACGAUGAACAUUCCAAAUUAAAUCACAAUGAAUGGCCCUGAUCGCGAUGGACGACCCAAAUUGAAUCGUGAUGAACGAUCAAGAUCCACUCCUUAUUUAAUCGUGAUCGAACGGUUCAGAUUAAAUGCAAUGGAUAGCCAAGAUCAAAAGCGGACGGAUAUAAAUAACUCUCAUCUACAUCAAACCCUAACCCUAACCGCUAGACCCCCUCUGUAACACCCCAAUUAUAAUUAU